GGUGCUGUGGCUUAGUUGGUUCCAAGUGCCUGUCUAGUAAACAUGAGAUCCUGGGUUUGAAUCCCAGCAGUGCCU
RNAcentral lists this transfer RNA (75 nucleotides) under Danio rerio (zebrafish). It matches the Rfam family "tRNA". From Rfam's summary of the family: Transfer RNA (tRNA) molecules are approximately 80 nucleotides in length. Their secondary structure includes four short double-helical elements and three loops (D, anti-codon, and T loops). Lineage: Eukaryota; Metazoa; Chordata; Actinopteri; Cypriniformes; Danionidae. The record is from Rfam by way of RNAcentral.